This is a ribosomal RNA of Oreochromis niloticus (Nile tilapia), 118 nucleotides long. The record is from Ensembl. NCBI's taxonomy places the organism in Eukaryota, Metazoa, Chordata, Actinopteri, Cichliformes, Cichlidae.
GCUUACGGCCAUACCACCCUGAACACGCCCGAUCUCGUCUGAUCUCGGAAGCUAAGCAGGGUCGGGCCUGGUCAGUACUUGGAUGGGAGACCGCUGGGAAUACCAGGUGCUGUAAGCU